GUAGUAGGUCUACCGAAAACGCCAUACAGGUGGAGUUUUCAAACCACUCUAAGGUGCUGUAUUCAAAAGAUAUGGUAUUGAGCGUUAGAGAAAAGGCAAUGUAAAAUUGUCAGG
RNAcentral lists this non-coding RNA (114 nucleotides) under chicken gut metagenome. The record is from RNAcentral.